This 68-nucleotide transfer RNA is filed under the name Aonyx capensis (African clawless otter). Its description in RNAcentral is "tRNA-Thr". RNAcentral also lists the same sequence under 1 other name. The record is from RNAcentral. Lineage: Eukaryota; Metazoa; Chordata; Mammalia; Carnivora; Mustelidae.
GUCUUUGUAGUAUACUCAUUACCUUGGUCUUGUAAACCAAAAACGGAGAACCCAAUCUCCCUAAGACU